RNAcentral lists this ribosomal RNA (153 nucleotides) under Staphylococcus hominis. RNAcentral describes it as "partial 23S ribosomal RNA". Lineage: Bacteria; Bacillati; Bacillota; Bacilli; Caryophanales; Staphylococcaceae. The record is from RNAcentral.
UUGAAAAAAUUGAUUAAGUCUUCGAUCGAUUAGUAUUCGUCAGCUCCACGUGUCACCACGCUUCCACCUCGAACCUAUUAACCUCAUCAUCUCUGAGGGAUCUUAUAACCGAAGUUGGGAAAUCUCAUCUUGAGGGGGGCUUCAUGCUUAGAU